Molecule: ribosomal RNA, 459 nt
Filed under: uncultured bacterium
Lineage: Bacteria
Description: partial 16S ribosomal RNA
Rfam family: Bacterial small subunit ribosomal RNA
Source: RNAcentral
GAUGAACGCUGGCGGCGCGCCUAACACAUGCAAGUCGAACGGCACCCCUCCUCGGAGGGAAGCGAGUGGCGAACGGCUGAGUAACACGUGGAGAACCUGCCCCCUCCCCCGGGAUAGCCGCCCGAAAGGACGGGUAAUACCGGAGACCCCGGGGUGCCGCAUGGCACCCCGGCUAAAGCCCCGACGGGAGGGGAUGGCUCCGCGGCCCAUCAGGUAGACGGCGGGGUGACGGCCCACCGUGCCGACCACGGGUAGCCGGGUUGAGAGACCGACCGGCCAGAUUGGGACUGAGACACGGCCCCGACUCCUACGGGAGGCCGCAGUGGGGAAUCUUGCGCCAUGGGGGGAACCCCGACGCAGCGCCGCCGCGUGCGGGACGGAGGCCUUCGGGUCGUAAACCGCUUUCAGCAGGGAAGAGUCAAGACUGUACCUGCAGAAGAAGCCCCGGCUAACUACGUG